This 470-nucleotide ribosomal RNA is filed under the name Streptococcus salivarius. Its description in RNAcentral is "bacterial SSU rRNA". It matches the Rfam family "Bacterial small subunit ribosomal RNA", at positions 28 to 480 of the family's 1533-position model. Lineage: Bacteria; Bacillati; Bacillota; Bacilli; Lactobacillales; Streptococcaceae. The record is from RNAcentral.
GACGAACGCUGGCGGCGUGCCUAAUACAUGCAAGUAGAACGCUGAAGAGAGGAGCUUGCUCUUCUUGGAUGAGUUGCGAACGGGUGAGUAACGCGUAGGUAACCUGCCUUGUAGCGGGGGAUAACUAUUGGAAACGAUAGCUAAUACCGCAUAACAAUGGGUGACUCAUGUCAUUUAUUUGAAAGGGGCAAAUGCUCCACUACAAGAUGGACCUGCGUUGUAUUAGCUAGUAGGUGAGGUAACGGCUCACCUAGGCGACGAUACAUAGCCGACCUGAGAGGGUGAUCGGCCACACUGGGACUGAGACACGGCCCAGACUCCUACGGGAGGCAGCAGUAGGGAAUCUUCGGCAAUGGGGGCAACCCUGACCGAGCAACGCCGCGUGAGUGAAGAAGGUUUUCGGAUCGUAAAGCUCUGUUGUAAGUCAAGAACGAGUGUGAGAGUGGAAAGUUCACACUGUGACGGUAGCU